This 260-nucleotide long non-coding RNA is filed under the name Zostera marina. Its description in RNAcentral is "long non-coding RNA (ZMAR_LNC001388)". Lineage: Eukaryota; Viridiplantae; Streptophyta; Magnoliopsida; Alismatales; Zosteraceae. The record is from RNAcentral.
AGUACACUCAGCCCCUAUCGCAGAAAGGCGGAAAAAAGGAGGGGGUCGGGUACUCUCAAAACCCGCCACAGGGAAGAGAACCCAAGCAGUGCUCAAGGACAGCUCAAGCAAGGCGUCAAGGUGGGCAAGCAGGGUUCCGCGGGAGAAUCGGGCCGGACAGGUGUGCAAGAAGUAGGCUUCGGCUAGGACAAACCGGACAAUAGUUGGCAAAAGCGCGUGACAACCUCCGUGGAAGCAUAGAUACAACCUCGCAGGCGUGG